Mobula hypostoma (lesser devil ray) is the source of this 387-nucleotide long non-coding RNA. RefSeq lists it as uncharacterized. The transcript has 4 exons. NCBI's taxonomy places the organism in Eukaryota, Metazoa, Chordata, Chondrichthyes, Myliobatiformes, Myliobatidae. The record is from RefSeq and is a predicted model, not a curated record.
CGCAUACAGAAGCAUGAGCGACCAUGCGUGGAACACGCGGUGAGUGAAUCGGGAAUACAAGGAACUUCUGGCUAGUGUAGACUCAGGAGAGUCAGGGAAACUUAGCAGGCGUGCCCACAAGGGAAUAAAGUCUGAACCUAUUUCAAUCCAUGCCUGCUGGAUUCUUUCAGAUGCCAUCAAAACUGGCCUUUCUCCAAUAUAUAAUUUCAACCAGAUGAUCUGUUUAUUAGUUGGAUGUUUGGAUUGGAGCUAAGAGGCAGAUUUCCCCUUGUUCACCAGCACAUCAAAUUGCAAGGUGGCAAGACACAUUGAGUCCCAAUGAUCUAACCUUCAUGAAUCUUGAAACAUUUGAGCUUGUGUUUUGAAAGCAGAAUCUUCCAUUUGGUG